GCCCAAAUUCUGGCCCGACAAAAAUUCACUUGCAAAGAGCAUCUUGUACGCAAGACUGCACUGUAACACUGACAAUACACAACGCAGUAAUAUAGCAGGAAGAAAACGUUGUUAGGUUACACUAAAGAAGCAGAUUAGCUUAGCUAAGAAGAAAAUGGAGACAGAAUUGAAAGCUCUCGAGUCUCUGAAGCACUCAUAGACUGAUCCUUCCUAUCACGCUUCAGUCGAUACGGUAUACACACAUACACAAUGCAUUUUCUGCCUAUACUGAACCUAAUCGCCGUUCUCCAACAAGCUUUAGUUUAAUGUGGCCUGCAUGAAAUGGGCGUCCUCUCUGUGUGUGUUUGCGUCUCUCUAUCAGACCUGCUGUGACUGAGGUGCUAGGUCUGCAUUCUUUCUCCAGUCAAAACCAUCAAUUGUUCUGUUAGCCUUUUUCUAGUUAAAGAAGCCGCAAGCGCACCUAAGACCAUUGCUGCAGCAAAAGAGGGAGCUCUCUCCAGAAUUCAUACAGCUUCUCUACAGGUUGGCGUGGAGAUGGCCGAGUUGGUCUAAGGCGCCAGAUUAAGGUUCUGGUCCGAAAGGGCGUGGGUUCAAAUCCCACUCUCCACAUUGCUUUUUUCAAACUUAAACUCUGAAUUCAUCCUGAGCUUUGACCAAUUUAAUUAAAGCUAUGUAUGAUAUCUAUUGUUACGUAGCUUAGGAUCUCUUAUACUUAUCAUCUAUUCUUGAAGCUUUAAACUUUAUUUAUAGAUCAGUACUCAAUGAAUUGUAAAGUUCUUGCAUAAUAACAAAGAAAAGGGCCC
Long non-coding RNA from Manihot esculenta (cassava), 803 nucleotides. RefSeq lists it as uncharacterized. The record is from RefSeq and is a predicted model, not a curated record. Lineage: Eukaryota; Viridiplantae; Streptophyta; Magnoliopsida; Malpighiales; Euphorbiaceae. The transcript is spliced from 3 exons.